GAUGAACGCUGGCGGCGUGCCUAAUACAUGCAAGUCGAGCGAACGGACGAGAAGCUUGCUUCUCUGAUGUUAGCGGCGGACGGGUGAGUAACACGUGGAUAACCUACCUAUAAGACUGGGAUAACUUCGGGAAACCGGAGCUAAUACCGGAUAAUAUUUUGAACCGCAUGGUUCAAAAGUAAAAGACGGUCUUGCUGUCACUUAUAGAUGGAUCCGCGCUGCAUUAGCUAGUUGGUAUGGUAACGGCUUACCAAGGCAACGAUGCAUAGCCGACCUGAGAGGGUGAUCGGCCACACUGGAACUGAGACACGGUCCAGACUCCUACGGGAGGCAGCAGUAGGGAAUCUUCCGCAAUGGGCGAAAGCCUGACGGAGCAACGCCGCGUGAGUGAUGAAGGUCUUCGGAUCGUAAAACUCUGUUAUUAGGGAAGAAUAUAUGUGUAAGUAACUGUGCACAUCUUGACGGUACCUAAUCAGAAAGCCACGGCUAACUACGUGCCAGCAGCCGCGAUAAUACGUAGGUGGCAAGCGUUAUCCGGAAUUAUUGGGCGUAAAGCGCGCGUAGGCGGUUUUUUAAGUCUGAUGUGAAAGCCCACGGCUCAACCGUGGAGGGUCAUUGGAAACUGGAAAACUUGAGUGCAGAAGAGGAAAGUGGAAUUCCAUGUGUAGCGGUGAAAUGCGCAGAGAUAUGGAGGAACACCAGUGGCGAAGGCGACUUUCUGGUCUGUAACUGACGCUGAUGUGCGAAAGCGUGGGGAUCAAACAGGAUUAGAUACCCUGGUAGUCCACGCCGUAAACGAUGAGUGCUAAGUGUUAGGGGGUUUCCGCCCCUUAGUGCUGCAGCUAACGCAUUAAGCACUCCGCCUGGGGAGUACGACCGCAAGGUUGAAACUCAAAGGAAUUGACGGGGACCCGCACAAGCGGUGGAGCAUGUGGUUUAAUUCGAAGCAACGCGAAGAACCUUACCAAAUCUUGACAUCCUUUGACAACUCUAGAGAUAGAGCCUUCCCCUUCGGGGGACAAAGUGACAGGUGGUGCAUGGUUGUCGUCAGCUCGUGUCGUGAGAUGUUGGGUUAAGUCCCGCAACGAGCGCAACCCUUAAGCUUAGUUGCCAUCAUUAAGUUGGGCACUCUAAGUUGACUGCCGGUGACAAACCGGAGGAAGGUGGGGAUGACGUCAAAUCAUCAUGCCCCUUAUGAUUUGGGCUACACACGUGCUACAAUGGACAAUACAAAGGGCAGCGAAACCGCGAGGUCAAGCAAAUCCCAUAAAGUUGUUCUCAGUUCGGAUUGUAGUCUGCAACUCGACUACAUGAAGCUGGAAUCGCUAGUAAUCGUAGAUCAGCAUGCUACGGUGAAUACGUUCCCGGGUCU
Molecule: ribosomal RNA, 1372 nt
Filed under: uncultured bacterium
Lineage: Bacteria
Description: bacterial SSU rRNA
Rfam family: Bacterial small subunit ribosomal RNA
Source: RNAcentral